GUGGGGAAUAUUGCGCAAUGGGCGAAAGCCUGACGCAGCUACGCCGCGUGAGUGAUGAAGGCCUUCGGGUUGUAAAGCUCUGUCGGGAGGGAAGAAGGGGCAACCCUGACGGUACCUCGCAAGAAAGCACCGGCUAACUCUGUGCCAGCAGCCGCGGUAAUACAGAGGGUGCAAGCGUUGCUCGGAUUUACUGGGCGUAAAGCGUACGCAGACGGCCACGCAGGUCGGGUGUGAAAGCCCCGGGCUCAACCCGGGAAUUGCAUUCGAAACCAUGUGGCUCGAGUGUGGGAGAGGAAAGUGGAAUUCCUGGUGUAGAGGUGAAAUUCGUAGAUAUCAGGAGGAACACCGGCGGCGAAGGCGGCUUUCUGGUCCACAACUGACGUUCAGGUACGAAAGCGUGGGGAGCAAACAGGAUUAGAAACCCGAGUAGUCC
This 433-nucleotide ribosomal RNA is filed under the name uncultured bacterium. RNAcentral's name for it is "bacterial SSU rRNA". It matches the Rfam family "Bacterial small subunit ribosomal RNA", at positions 354 to 796 of the family's 1533-position model. The record is from RNAcentral.